RNAcentral lists this ribosomal RNA (2360 nucleotides) under Salmonella enterica subsp. enterica serovar Enteritidis str. CDC_2010K_1457. Its description in RNAcentral is "bacterial LSU rRNA". It matches the Rfam family "Bacterial large subunit ribosomal RNA", at positions 588 to 2925 of the family's 2925-position model. Lineage: Bacteria; Pseudomonadati; Pseudomonadota; Gammaproteobacteria; Enterobacterales; Enterobacteriaceae. The record is from RNAcentral.
UGGGUGUGACUGCGUACCUUUUGUAUAAUGGGUCAGCGACUUAUAUUCUGUAGCAAGGUUAACCGAAUAGGGGAGCCGGAGGGAAACCGAGUCUUAACCGGGCGUUAAGUUGCAGGGUAUAGACCCGAAACCCGGUGAUCUAGCCAUGGGCAGGUUGAAGGUUGGGUAACACUAACUGGAGGACCGAACCGACUAAUGUUGAAAAAUUAGCGGAUGACCUGUGGCUGGGGGUGAAAGGCCAAUCAAACCGGGAGAUAGCUGGUUCUCCCCGAAAGCUAUUUAGGUAGCGCCUCGUGAAUUCAUCUCCGGGGGUAGAGCACUGUUUCGGCUAGGGGGCCAUCCCGGCUUACCAACCCGAUGCAAACUGCGAAUACCGGAGAAUGUUAUCACGGGAGACACACGGCGGGUGCUAACGUCCGUCGUGAAGAGGGAAACAACCCAGACCGCCAGCUAAGGUCCCAAAGUCAUGGUUAAGUGGGAAACGAUGUGGGAAGGCCCAGACAGCCAGGAUGUUGGCUUAGAAGCAGCCAUCAUUUAAAGAAAGCGUAAUAGCUCACUGGUCGAGUCGGCCUGCGCGGAAGAUGUAACGGGGCUAAACCAUGCACCGAAGCUGCGGCAGCGACACUGUGUGUUGUUGGGUAGGGGAGCGUUCUGUAAGCCUGUGAAGGUGUGUCGUGAGGCAUGCUGGAGGUAUCAGAAGUGCGAAUGCUGACAUAAGUAACGAUAAAGCGGGUGAAAAGCCCGCUCGCCGGAAGACCAAGGGUUCCUGUCCAACGUUAAUCGGGGCAGGGUGAGUCGACCCCUAAGGCGAGGCCGAAAGGCGUAGUCGAUGGGAAACGGGUUAAUAUUCCCGUACUUGGUGUUACUGCGAAGGGGGGACGGAGAAGGCUAUGUUGGCCGGGCGACGGUUGUCCCGGUUUAAGCGUGUAGGUGUGUGUUCCAGGUAAAUCCGGUUCACUUUAACACUGAGGCGUGACGACGAGGCACUACGGUGCUGAAGCAACAAAUGCCCUGCUUCCAGGAAAAGCCUCUAAGCAUCAGGUAACAUCAAAUCGUACCCCAAACCGACACAGGUGGUCAGGUAGAGAAUACCAAGGCGCUUGAGAGAACUCGGGUGAAGGAACUAGGCAAAAUGGUGCCGUAACUUCGGGAGAAGGCACGCUGACACGUAGGUGAAGUGAUUUACUCAUGGAGCUGAAGUCAGUCGAAGAUACCAGCUGGCUGCAACUGUUUAUUAAAAACACAGCACUGUGCAAACACGAAAGUGGACGUAUACGGUGUGACGCCUGCCCGGUGCCGGAAGGUUAAUUGAUGGGGUCAGCGCAAGCGAAGCUCCUGAUCGAAGCCCCGGUAAACGGCGGCCGUAACUAUAACGGUCCUAAGGUAGCGAAAUUCCUUGUCGGGUAAGUUCCGACCUGCACGAAUGGCGUAAUGAUGGCCAGGCUGUCUCCACCCGAGACUCAGUGAAAUUGAACUCGCUGUGAAGAUGCAGUGUACCCGCGGCAAGACGGAAAGACCCCGUGAACCUUUACUAUAGCUUGACACUGAACAUUGAGCCUUGAUGUGUAGGAUAGGUGGGAGGCUUUGAAGUGUGGACGCCAGUCUGCAUGGAGCCGACCUUGAAAUACCACCCUUUAAUGUUUGAUGUUCUAACGUGGACCCGUUACCCGGGUUGCGGACAGUGUCUGGUGGGUAGUUUGACUGGGGCGGUCUCCUCCUAAAGAGUAACGGAGGAGCACGAAGGUUGGCUAAUCCUGGUCGGACAUCAGGAGGUUAGUGCAAUGGCAUAAGCCAGCUUGACUGCGAGCGUGACGGCGCGAGCAGGUGCGAAAGCAGGUCAUAGUGAUCCGGUGGUUCUGAAUGGAAGGGCCAUCGCUCAACGGAUAAAAGGUACUCCGGGGAUAACAGGCUGAUACCGCCCAAGAGUUCAUAUCGACGGCGGUGUUUGGCACCUCGAUGUCGGCUCAUCACAUCCUGGGGCUGAAGUAGGUCCCAAGGGUAUGGCUGUUCGCCAUUUAAAGUGGUACGCGAGCUGGGUUUAGAACGUCGUGAGACAGUUCGGUCCCUAUCUGCCGUGGGCGCUGGAGAACUGAGGGGGGCUGCUCCUAGUACGAGAGGACCGGAGUGGACGCAUCACUGGUGUUCGGGUUGUCAUGCCAAUGGCACUGCCCGGUAGCUAAAUGCGGAAGAGAUAAGUGCUGAAAGCAUCUAAGCACGAAACUUGCCCCGAGAUGAGUUCUCCCUGAGACUUAGAGUCUCCUGAAGGAACGUUGAAGACGACGACGUUGAUAGGCCGGGUGUGUAAGCGCAGCGAUGCGUUGAGCUAACCGGUACUAAUGAACCGUGAGGCUUAACCUUAC